AUGGAGGACGACCUGGUCGAGAGAAAGGAGGACCGGAAAGCCGUGGCGGCACUCAUGCGCGCCACGCCGCCGGAGAUGCACGGCAUGCUCGCGGCGAAGGCAAGCGCCAAGGAGGCGUGGGAAGCCAUCCGCACCCAGCGCCUCGGCAGCAACCGCGUGCGCGAGGCGAACGCGCAGAAGCUGCGGGCGGACUUCGAGAACAUCGCCUUCAAGGAGGGCGAGCUCGUUGACGACUUCGCCAUGCGGAUCUCCAGCGUUGUGUCACAACUCCGAGCGCUCGGAGACACCAUGGACGAUGCGAGAGUCGUGCGGAAAUUUCUCCGAGUCGUGCCAGCUCGCUUCGCUCAGGUAGCUUUCUCCAUCGAGACCUUGCUUGACCUGAGUGAGCUCUCCAUAGAGGAGCUCACGGGCCGGUUGCGGGUGGUCGAGGACCGCCUUGAGGACGACCGUGAGAGCUUCGGGGGAGAACAACUCCUGUUCUCGAAGAAGUGGGAGGCGAGGAAGCGUCAAGGACGUGGUGGGGGUACCCCAAGCAGUGGAGGCGGCACCGGCAGAAGCGGCGGUCGCACCCAGGGCGGAGCCGGACAAGGUGCCGGCAACGACGACCAGGACAAGUGCCGAUAUUGUAGCAUCAAGGGCCACUGGGCCCGUGAGUGCCGCAAGAGGAUGGCUUAG
This 675-nucleotide ribosomal RNA is filed under the name Triticum aestivum (bread wheat). RNAcentral's name for it is "partial small subunit ribosomal RNA". Lineage: Eukaryota; Viridiplantae; Streptophyta; Magnoliopsida; Poales; Poaceae. The record is from RNAcentral.